RNAcentral lists this ribosomal RNA (468 nucleotides) under uncultured bacterium. Its description in RNAcentral is "partial 16S ribosomal RNA". It matches the Rfam family "Bacterial small subunit ribosomal RNA", at positions 28 to 507 of the family's 1533-position model. The record is from RNAcentral.
GAUGAACGCUGGCGGCGUGCUUAACACAUGCAAGUCGAACGGUGAAGGCGGAGCUUGCUCUGCUGGAUCAGUGGCGAACGGGUGAGUAACACGUGAGCAAUCUGCCCCUGACUCUGGGAUAAGCGCUGGAAACGGCGUCUAAUACUGGAUACGAGCUGCGAAGGCAUCUUCAGCAGCUGGAAAGAAUUUCGGUCAGGGAUGAGCUCGCGGCCUAUCAGCUUGUUGGUGAGGUAAUGGCUCACCAAGGCGUCGACGGGUAGCCGGCCUGAGAGGGUGACCGGCCACACUGGGACUGAGACACGGCCCAGACUCCUACGGGAGGCAGCAGUGGGGAAUAUUGCACAAUGGGCGAAAGCCUGAUGCAGUAACGCCGCGUGAGGGACGACGGCCUUCGGGUUGUAAACCUCUUUUAGCAGGGAAGAAGCGAAAGUGGCGGUACCUGCAGAAAAAGCGCCGGCUAACUACGUG